GACGAACGCUGGCGGCGUGCUUAACACAUGCAAGUCGAACGGAAAGUUCCUGGUUUUGUGGGGUGCUCGAGGGGCGAAGGGGUGAGUAACACGUGAGUAAGCUGCACUUGACUGUGGGAUAACUUCAGGAAACUGGGGCCAAUACCGGAUAGGAGCUCUUGCUGCUUGGGGGGGGUUGGAAAGUUUCGGCGGUUGGGGAUGGACUCGCGGCUCAUCAGCUUGUUGGUGGGGUAGUGGCUUACCAAGGCUUUGACGCGUAGCCGACCUGAGAGGGUGACCGGCCCCGCUGGGAUGGGACUGCGACCCAGACUCCUCCGGUACGCAACGGUGGGGAAUAGUGCACAACGGGAUGAGGGCUAGUGUAACGCCGCCGUGUGGGGGAAAUGAGGCAUCGCGUAGGAUAGCAAUAUCGCUUCUGCCGAGGCGUUAGUGACGGUACUGGGUAAAGAAGCACCGGCUAACUACGUG
RNAcentral lists this ribosomal RNA (468 nucleotides) under uncultured bacterium. RNAcentral describes it as "partial 16S ribosomal RNA". It matches the Rfam family "Bacterial small subunit ribosomal RNA", at positions 28 to 507 of the family's 1533-position model. The record is from RNAcentral.